CACGAUGUAGCUCAACGGCGGAGCAGGCCCCUCAUAAGGGAAAGGAUGCUGGUUCGAGUCCAGCCAUCGUGA
RNAcentral lists this transfer RNA (72 nucleotides) under Algisphaera agarilytica. It matches the Rfam family "tRNA". Rfam says of the family: Transfer RNA (tRNA) molecules are approximately 80 nucleotides in length. Their secondary structure includes four short double-helical elements and three loops (D, anti-codon, and T loops). Further hydrogen bonds mediate the characteristic L-shaped molecular structure. tRNAs have two regions of fundamental functional importance: the anti-codon, which is responsible for specific mRNA codon recognition, and the 3' end, to which the tRNAs corresponding amino acid is attached (by aminoacyl-tRNA synthetases). tRNAs cope with the degeneracy of the genetic code in two manners: having more than one tRNA (with a specific anti-codon) for a particular amino acid; and 'wobble' base-pairing, i.e. permitting non-standard base-pairing at the 3rd anti-codon position. The record is from Rfam by way of RNAcentral. Lineage: Bacteria; Pseudomonadati; Planctomycetota; Phycisphaerae; Phycisphaerales; Phycisphaeraceae.